This 498-nucleotide ribosomal RNA is filed under the name uncultured bacterium. RNAcentral's name for it is "partial 16S ribosomal RNA". It matches the Rfam family "Bacterial small subunit ribosomal RNA", at positions 28 to 507 of the family's 1533-position model. The record is from RNAcentral.
GAUGAACGCUGGCGGCGUGCCUAAUACAUGCAAGUCGAACGAUAGCAGCCGGUGCUUGCCUUGUUCAAUCUAGUGGCGCACGGGUGUGUAACAUGUGGGUAACCCGCCCUUCAGAGGGGGAUAACAUCCUGAAACGGGUGCCUAAACCGCAAUAGCCUUCGAACCGCAAGGAUUGAAGAGGAAAAGCGGCGCAAGCUCCUGCUGAUGGAUGUGCCCGCGGUGCAUUAGCUAGUUGGUGAGGUAACGGCUCACCAAGGCCAUGAUGCAUAGCCGACCUGAGAGGGUGAUCGGCCACAUUGGAACUGAGACACGGCCCAAACUCCUACGGGAGGCAGCAGUAGGGAAUCUUGCGCAAUGGACGCAAGUCUGACGGAGCAACGCCGCGUGAGUGAAGAAGGUUUUCGGAUCGUAAAACUCUGUUGUUGGGGAAGAACAAGUGAAAGAGUAACUGUUAGCGCCUUGACGGUAUCUAACCAGAAAGCCACGGCUAACUACGUG